RNAcentral lists this non-coding RNA (26 nucleotides) under Cricetulus griseus (Chinese hamster). The record is from RNAcentral. Lineage: Eukaryota; Metazoa; Chordata; Mammalia; Rodentia; Cricetidae.
AGGCGCUGGGACCCUCGCAUAAGCUA